Molecule: long non-coding RNA, 2442 nt
Organism: Oncorhynchus kisutch (coho salmon)
Lineage: Eukaryota; Metazoa; Chordata; Actinopteri; Salmoniformes; Salmonidae
Source: Ensembl
AGGAGUAGGAGAGAGAGAAGAGGAGGAGUUGGUUGGAAGAGAUGGAGAGAGGAGAGGGGCGAGAGAGAGAGAGAGGGACAGACAGGGGAGGGGGAAGGGACAGAGGAGAGGGGAAGAGAGGAGAGAAGGAGAGAGAGGACAGAGACAGGGGAGGGGAAGAGAGAGGAAGGAGAGGAAGGACAGAGACAGGGGAGGGGAAGAGAGAGGAAGGAGAGAGAGGACAGAGACAGGGGAGGGGGAGAGAGAGGAAGGAGAGAGAGGACAGAGACAGGGGAGGGGAAGAGAGACGAAGGAGAGAGAAGGACAGAGACAGGGGAGGGGGAAGAGAGAGAGGAAGGAGAGAGAGGACAGAGACAGGGGAGGGGGAAGAGAGUGGAAGGAGAGAGAAGGACAGAGACAGGGGAGGGGAAGAGAGAGAGGAGGAGGAGGAAGAGAGGGGAGGGGGAAAGCGGGAGGGGGAAAAGAGAGAGGAAGGAAGAGAGGAAAGAGACAGGGGAGGGGGGAAGAGAGAGGAAGGAGAGAGGGAAAGAGACAGGGGAGGGGAAGAGAGAGGAAGGAGCGAGGGGGACAGAGACAGGAGGGAAGAGAGAGGGAAGGAGAGAGAGGACAGAGACAGGGAGGGGGAAGAGAGACAAGGACAGAGACAGGGGAGGGGAAAGAGGAGACAAGGACAGGAAGGGGGAGGGGGAAGAGAGAGGAAGGAGAGAGAAGGACAGAGAUAGGGGAGGGAAGAGGAGAGGACAGAGACAGGGAGGGGGAAGAGAGAGGAAGGAAGAGAAGGACAGAGACAGGGGAGGGGGAGAGAGAGGACAGAGACAGGGGAGGGGAAAGAGAGAGGAAGGAAAGAGAAGGACAGAGACAGGGGAGGGGGAAGAGAGAGGACAGAGACAGGGGAGGGGAAAGAGAGAGGAAGGAAAGAGAAGGACAGAGAUAGGGGAGGGGAAGAGAGAGGACAGAGACAGGGGAGGGGGAAGAGAGAGGAAGGAGAGAAGGACAGAGACAGGGGAGGGGAAGAGAGAGGAAGGAGAGAGAGGACAGAGACAGGGGAGGGGGAAGAGAGAAGGAAGGAGAGAGGGGAGGGGGAAGAGAGAGGACAGAGGACAGGGGAAGGGGAAGAGAGAGGACAGACUCACAGGGGAGGGGGAAGAAGAGAGAGGAAGGAGAGAAGGACAGAGACAGGAGAGGGGGAAGAGAGACAAGGACAGAGACAGGGGGAGGGGGAAGAGAGAGGAAGGAGCGAGAGGACAGAGACAGGGGAGGGGAAAGAGAGAGGAAGGAGAGAGAGGACAGAGACAGGGGAGGGGAAGAGAGGAAGGAGAGAAGAGGACAGAGACAGGGGAGGGGGGAAGAGAGACAAGGACAAGACAGGGGAGGGGGAAGAGAGAGACAAGGACAGAGACAGGGGAGGGGGAAGAGGACAAGGACAGAGGACAGGGGGAAGGGAAGGAAGAGAGACAAGGACAGAGACAGGGGAGGGGGAAGAGAGAGGAAGGAGAGGAGAAGGACAGAGAUAGGGGAGGGGAAGAGAGAGGACAGAGACAGGGGAGGGGGAAGAGAGAGGAAGGAAAGAGAAGGACAGAGACAGGGGAGGGGAAGGAGAGAGGACAGAGACAGGGAGGGGAAAGAGAGAGGAAGGAAAGAGAAGGACAGAGACAGGGGAGGGGGAAAGAGAGAGGACCAGAGACAGGGGAGGGGAAAGAGAGAGAGGAAGGAAAGAGAAGGACAGAGAUAGGGGAGGGGAAGAGAGAGGACCAGAGACAGGGAGGGGGAAGAGAGGAGGAAGGAGAGAAGGACAGAGACAGGGGAGGGGGAGAGAGAAGGAGAGAGAGGACAGAACAGGGGAGAAGAGGAGGAAGGAGAGAGGGGAGGGGGGAGAGAGAGGAGAGAGACAGAGGGGAGGGGAGGGGAAGAGAGAGGACAGAGACAGGGGAGGGGAAGAGGGGGACAGAGACAGGGAGGGGAAGAGAGAGGACAGAGACAGGGGAGGGGGAAGAGAGAGGACAGACAGGGGAGGGGGAAGAGAGAGGAAGGAGAGAAGGACAGAGACAGGGGAGGGGGAAGAGAGAGGAAGGAGGGAAGGAGAGAAGGACAGAGACAGGGGAGGGGGAAGAGAGAGGAAGGAGCGAGAGGACGGAGACAGGGGAGGGGGAAGAGAGAGGAAGGAGCGAGAGGACGGAGACAGGGGAGGGGGAAGAGAGAGGAAGGAGCGAGAGGACGAGAAGGGGAGGGGGAAGAGAGAGGAAGGAGAGAGGAGGACGGAGACAGGGGAGAGGGAAGAGAGAGGAAGGAGAGAGAGGAAGGAGACAGGGGAGGGGGAAGAGAGAGGAAGGAGAGAGAGGAAGGAGACGAGGGGAGGGGGAAGAGAGAGCUCACAUGAAUGCAUUUGACAACGACCAUGACAGUUAUAGUACAGAAUAUAGUGCUGUUAUCUGUACCAUGUAA